GAUGAACGCUGGCGGCGUGCCUAAUACAUGCAAGUCGAGCGAUCGGACGAGAAUCUUGCUUCUCUGAUGUUAGCGGCGGACGGGUGAGUAACACGUGGAUUACCUAUCUAUAUGACUUGGAUAACUUCGGGAAUCCGUAGCUAAUACCGGUUGAUAUUUUGAACAUCAUGGUUCAAAAGAGAAAGACGGUCUUGCUGUCACUUAUAGAUGGAUCCGCGCUGAAUUAGCUAGUUGGUAAGGUGACGGCUUACCAAGGCAACUAUGCAUAGCCGACCUGAAAGAGUGAUAGGCCACACUAGAAACGAAACAGGGACAAGACGACUAAGAGAGGCAGCAGAAGGGAAUGUUCCGCAGUAGGCGAAAGCCUGACAGAGCAAGGCAGCGUGAGAGAUGAAGAUCUUCGGAGCGUAAAAAACUGUUAUUAGUGAAAAACAGAUUUGAAAAGAAAUGAGCACAAAGUGACGGUACCUAAUCAAAAAGCCACGGCUAACUACGUG
Molecule: ribosomal RNA, 497 nt
Filed under: uncultured bacterium
Lineage: Bacteria
Description: partial 16S ribosomal RNA
Rfam family: Bacterial small subunit ribosomal RNA
Source: RNAcentral